This is a non-coding RNA of Camellia sinensis, 782 nucleotides long. NCBI's taxonomy places the organism in Eukaryota, Viridiplantae, Streptophyta, Magnoliopsida, Ericales, Theaceae. The record is from RefSeq and is a predicted model, not a curated record.
AAUUGUAGUGAAAGAAUUUCUUAAAAGCAACCAAAUAAGCUACCUCCACAUUUGUUGUUUGUUUUUAUGGCUGAACUACCAUAUAUCUUCUAGAUAUACCCCCUUGCACCUAAUGGUGAGCUCAUAUACAGCAGCCUCUUUGCCAUAAAAAAUGGCAUAAUAGCAAAAUUAUGACAUGGAGUCUUUUCUAAAGAAAUCUAAAAAUGUUGUCAAUACCAUACCAAUGUUCUUAUGCAAUUACUGAGGGACAAGUUGCACUACUAGAAUUUGCUUGUAAUUAAACUCAUGCUGAGCUUUUUGCUAUACUUCUUGUUUUUAGCAUGAAGGCAUAAAAGAGCAAAUUGAAACGAGCAUUUUCUUUAUGAAGAAUAGCAACUAUUUUCAUGUUUAUUUCUUGUUCCUGUUUGUUGUUAUGGUUAGAAAAUUAGUUAGUUAGAUUUUUUUUUUUUUUUUUUUCAUUCCAGAUUGCACCAGGGAUAACCAGCGUUUUCUUCUUUUCUUCCUAUGUUUUGCAGGGUACGUUCACUGACAUUCUGAAACAACUUGACAAGGCAAGCCUUUACACCAGAGCAAAUAAAUGAAGCAUGUUAUGUUGACAUUAAUUCCAACAAGGCUGUCUUUGACAGUUUGAGGAAUAACCCAAAAGUGAACUAUGAUGGGAGGUGCUUCGCUUACAAGGUAAAUCCUAAUCUUUUCACCUGGAACCCUGGCAGACAAUUGAACUUCUCUGUCUUCCCCAAGAGUUCAUAGAUUGUUACAGGUGCCUGCCCAAAAAGCUUCGA